GCCCGGGUGGCGGAAUGGCAGACGCGCAGGUCUCAAAAACCUGUGGGCUUUUUGCUCAUGUGGGUUCGACUCCCUCCCCGGGCA
This 84-nucleotide transfer RNA is filed under the name Candidatus Roizmanbacteria bacterium RIFOXYA1_FULL_41_12. RNAcentral describes it as "tRNA-Leu". It matches the Rfam family "tRNA". Rfam says of the family: Transfer RNA (tRNA) molecules are approximately 80 nucleotides in length. RNAcentral also lists the same sequence under 6 other names. The record is from RNAcentral. Lineage: Bacteria; Candidatus Roizmaniibacteriota.